This is a non-coding RNA of Benincasa hispida (wax gourd), 1021 nucleotides long. Lineage: Eukaryota; Viridiplantae; Streptophyta; Magnoliopsida; Cucurbitales; Cucurbitaceae. The record is from RefSeq and is a predicted model, not a curated record.
UUAAACCUUCCGGAAAUUGACUCUUCGAAAUCGGGGAUGCCAUCCCCGCCGGCGGCCCCUCCCCGGGAUGGUUCCAUACUAAAAAAGAAUGAAAAAACGCCAUACGCCGAACCCUAAACACUGAUUUCCUCGCUUCUUUCUAAUCUAUUCUCCUUCAACCACAAAACCCCUUCCGUCUACACUAAAUUUUCUCUCUUCGCCGUCGCUGCUUCCAGAAUAAUCGCUCCCCUCUCUCUGGCUAUACCAUUGAAGGAGAUAUAGUUGGACAAAUGAUUGAAACAAGUCUAUUGGAUUGGGGAAUUGAGAAGAGCAUAGACUUGGAGGCGUAUAAUUCUAAAGCAGCAACACCAACCAAAGCAAAGAAAAUGGUGUACACAUAAAUUUUCCUCUCUCCUCUCCUUCUAAAUGCUGAAUUUGAGUUUAUUAUGAGUUCCUCCUCUAAGUGGAAUCCAUUGUUGGAUUGAUCAUCACCUGCCUCCAUUAUUGAUUGAUUUAUAUUGUUGUCAGCAGUUUCUCUUUUGAUUGUCCAGAUUUGUCGAUGAAGUUGCGCAUUUGUUUGGAGAAUGAGAUUGAGCUGGUGCUCUGUUCGGUAGAGCAUGAGCGCUGUAUCGACAAAAAGGUACAUGUAAACGAGGCUGCAUAAACAGCUUAGAGAAAGAAUCACCCAAAAGUUGCCAUUGUUGCAACUGAGGGAGGAAGGAGCAUUAGUUUUCUGGGAGAUGAAGAAGAAGAAGACACGUUCCAAAAUUAAAUAAGCCCCAACGAUGGUGUGUAAUUUGGUGUCGUGGAGAUUUCUACGUUGGUCAGUCCAUAGACAAAGAACCCUUAUAUAUAUAUUAUGUGAUGUGAAGAUGUGGGCUUAAAUUCCACUCUUAUAUAGAUGUCCUCUUCAGUAUAUCAGUCACCUAGUUGUUAUUUUUCUUAUUUCUGUAAUAUUUUAAUGAUUCUUUGUGCAUUACUUCUUUUUAAAUAAUCUUUGGUUUAUAUCACCACAAUGAAAGGUGGUUUGAAUUUUAAAAAA